UAUUAUUUUAUAUGUGAAAAGAAAAUUUAGGUAUUAAUUGUUAAGAUCAUUAAACUUAAAGAAUUUGACGGUAUUUUAGUCUUUUCAGAGUAAUCUGUCCUAUAAUUGAUAAUACACGAAUAGAAAUACUUAAUUUAUGGUUUGUAUAUCAUUGUCAUAAAAUUAUCUUGGGAAAGUUUAUUUUUAGUAUAAAAAAAUAUUUUAAAUGUCAAAUCAAGAUGCAGCUUAUAAUUAAGAAGAGAUGGAUUACAAUUAAAUAGAAAAUACGAAUAAAUUAUUUAGGAAAUUAUUGAAGGUGGAUUUGAUUGUAAAUUUAUUGAUUUAUGAAUUGAUUUAAGCUCUAAAAUAUGUACACAUCGCCCGUCGCUCUCAUUUUGAUAAUGAG
RNAcentral lists this ribosomal RNA (385 nucleotides) under Rhicnogryllus viettei. Its description in RNAcentral is "partial 12S ribosomal RNA". Lineage: Eukaryota; Metazoa; Arthropoda; Insecta; Orthoptera; Trigonidiidae. The record is from RNAcentral.